CAGCAGCCGCGGUAAUACGUAGGGUGCGAGCGUUAAUCGGAAUUACUGGGCGUAAAGCGUGCGCAGGCGGUGAGUUAAGUCUGCUGUGAAAGCCCCGGGCUCAACCUGGGAACGGCAGUGGAAACUGGCUCGCUGGAGUAUGGCAGAGGGGGGUGGAAUUCCGCGUGUAGCAGUGAAAUGCGUAGAGAUGCGGAGGAACACCGAUGGCGAAGGCAGCCCCCUGGGCCAAUACUGACGCUCAGGCACGAAAGCGUGGGGAGCAAACAGGAUUAGAUACCCUGGUAGUCCACGCCCUAAACGAUGUCAACUGGGUGUUGGGGAAGCGAUUCCUUGGUACCGUAGCUAACGCGUGAAGUUGACCGCCUGGGGAGUACGGCCGCAAGGUUAAAACUUAAAGGAAUUGACGG
RNAcentral lists this ribosomal RNA (407 nucleotides) under uncultured bacterium. RNAcentral describes it as "bacterial SSU rRNA". It matches the Rfam family "Bacterial small subunit ribosomal RNA", at positions 509 to 916 of the family's 1533-position model. The record is from RNAcentral.